This 447-nucleotide ribosomal RNA is filed under the name uncultured bacterium. Its description in RNAcentral is "bacterial SSU rRNA". It matches the Rfam family "Bacterial small subunit ribosomal RNA", at positions 355 to 825 of the family's 1533-position model. The record is from RNAcentral.
UCGGGAAUUUUGGGCAAUGGGCGAAAGCCUGACCCAGCAACGCCGCGUGAAGGAUGAAGUAUUUCGGUAUGUAAACUUCGUAAGAAUAGGAAGAAUAAAUGACGGUACUAUUUGUAAGGUCCGGCUAACUACGUGCCAGCAGCCGCGGUAAUACGUAGGGACCAAGCGUUGUUCGGAUUUACUGGGCAUAAAGGGCGCGUAGGCGGCGUGGUAAGUCAUCUGUGAAAUCUCCGAGCUUAACUCGGAACGGUCAGAUGAUACUGCUGUGCUAGAGUACAGAAGGGGCAAUCGGAAUUCUUGGUGUAGCGGUGAAAUGCGUAGAUAUCAAGAGGAACACCUGAGGUGAAGACGGGUUGCUGGGCUGAUACUGACGCUGAGGCGCGAAAGCUAGGGUAGCAAACGGGAUUAGAUACCCCCGUAGUCCCUGAGCGGGCUGGCAAGGCGCAU